AUGUCGCCUUCCCUCUUCUCCCCGCUCGCCUUGGCCGCCUCCUCUCCUCCGCCUUGUUGUCGGCCCCCUCCCUCCUCCUACCUCCUCCUCCCUCCUCUCAGUCCCGUGCCAGCCUCCGCCCAAACGCUAGCCCCCGUUUCCCCCGAUCCCCAUAGUAACCGCAUCCACAGCCACCCGCUCCUUCUCAGAAUCGCUGCACCAUUCCUGCCUUCCGCCCCCUCCUCCUUCCCGGAUCCCCACCACGGUGCCGACCUGCAGGCAAAGGGCGACGAAGGGUGGCGGACGAGGACAAAGGAGGCCGGCGGCGAGGCCUAA
RNAcentral lists this ribosomal RNA (315 nucleotides) under Triticum aestivum (bread wheat). RNAcentral describes it as "partial small subunit ribosomal RNA". Lineage: Eukaryota; Viridiplantae; Streptophyta; Magnoliopsida; Poales; Poaceae. The record is from RNAcentral.